GUUCAUUCAGUGGUUUGUUACUCCACUGUCAUUUUGGCCCAUUAAGAGUUCAUCCACCAGGUUUAAGGAUGUUUAUGGACUACGGUACCUUUCUAGAGUAAGACUCAUUUCUUUUCAUUGAUACAUUAGCUGAAAAAAUGCUUUCCCCCCCCCAGUGUCUUUGAUCUUUUUAAAACAGCAAACUAAUAAACUGGUAACAUCUUCCACCACCAGGGAAAGCUGAGAGUUUUCAAACUGUGCCAGAGUUGUUAGAUAACCUGUUCUCUGCUUUCUCCACAUCUUCGUCUUUCUCCAAGGAUCUUCCUGGGCAUCCUGGGUUUUGGUCUUGCCAUCAUGUUCUGCACCACUUUCUGCAGAGCAUGCAGUCGCCUAAGGGAGGAGCGUAUAUCACGGGGGUCUAUAAGACAUAGUGACCAGGGCAGGCUCCCGCAGUCCAUAUAUUUCAUUCCCUUCCCCAGGAGCAUAUCACAGCAGGACAGCGAAGAUCAAGGUGGUGAUGCCAUGAGACCACCACGAUACAGCACAACAGUUUACCCAGGACCCCCACCUGCCUAUAAUGAGCUGGAAUUUAAGCCUGAUGAUCUCCCACCUGCUUACAAUGAACAAAGCAUUUCUAUGUAUCCCAUAACACCCCCACCGCCUCACCCAGACAUGGUUCAACCACAGGCACAGUGACAACCAUAAGGAAAAUCAUUAUAGUGUCGAAGUUACGGACACUCACGAUAUUGCACUGCCUCGUGGACAUAAGUAACAAGAAGUUCUAAUCUUUUAAGGGUUGGUUUUAUUGUUAGAUUCAUUUUCUUUAUUGUUUUAAGGCAUGUGAUGAUGGCACGAAGAGAAUCAAAGUUGCGGAAAUGAAAAAGGUUUAAAGUUACAACAUUGUAAACGUGUUUCAGGUUCAGCUUGUUCUCUGUGUUUAUUAGCAGGAUAUCAAAGAAGUGUCCUAUCAGGUAUUUAUUACAUUUAGUGCAGAGCUAAACUGAAAUACAUGUUGUUUUGGUUUGUGCUCAACAUCUUGAGGACGAGAUGCAUUUUUUUCACCACUUUUACAGACUUCAUUUCAACAGACAGUAAAGGGAUGGCAUUGAUGGCAUUUACAACAACACUGUGAGAAGCUGAAAUGGUUGCAUUUUGCUUGUUCACACUCUGUAUAUUUACUCAAAGGAUUUAAAUAUUUGCUAUUCAUUCUUUCAUCAAAAUAUUAGCUUUGGAUGGCUAUUUUGGAAAGCACAGCAUGUAUUCCCUGAGUGCUUUUUAGGUGAUGUUCUAAACGAGCACAUACAGUGAAGUACAUGAUAAUGAAGUAAGCCUGACAAGCAUGUAUUUUUAUAUAUGUAUGCCGGUUAACUUAUGUGACUGUAAUAAGGUGGUUGCAGUGAUGUUGUAGUCAUAUUAUGCUAGAAGAGGCCUUUUUCACAGCAGACAUUUUAUCUCAUGACAGGGUCUGCAUAGGUGUAACUGACUGUUCAGCCGUUGGUUAUGGCUGAACAAUCAGUUAAUGCUAUUUAUUACAGGUGUUGAUGUACCAUUCAUUUCCUGUUGUGAUUUCUGAAAACUUGUUUUAAGACUUUCAUGAAACAGUCACUUUACUUGAAAUGAAAUGUGUAAAUAGACAAAAUUCACAAAUUAAUUGUUCAAAUUGUUCUCAGGAAAAAAAAAUGUGAAUGAUAUUUAUAGUAGCUGGUCUACUUAAAGGUCUCUGAACAGACUGAACACUCCAACAAAGUCUGUAAUAUCAACGUGGAAACGGAGGUUAGAAAAAGAUUUCAAUGUUGAGGAAAUUUUCCAUGUAAAUAUAUGUUAAUAAUAAUGAUUAUAUCACAUGUACAUAUUGUGGAUACGUUUAAAUAAAGAAAAACACUAAAUCAAGCUUGUCAUGAAUUUUAACAAAGUUGGAAUAAAAGUUUAAAAAUGUUUUACAAAGAUUCACUUUAGUGCAACUUAAAACAUUAAAGAAUUUCCAGUUUCUUUGGCUUAAGAAACUCAUGGGUUGCUUUUGCAGCAGGUUUUGAGUCAUUAUCCUCUGAAGUUAAGACUCAUUUGGCUGAAUCUGAGCAGUCAUAAAAGCCCAUACUAUAACUUUGCCUCCAUCAUGUUUGACAGAUGAUAUGGUAUGCUUUGAACAAAGAGCUGUUCCUUUACUACUAUUUUUGAGUGUAGCCAUUAGUUGUUUUCAAUUCAAUAUUUUCAUUUUUCCAACAACAAUUUCAACAAGAGGAAACCUCCAACAAGCUCAGGGAGCGGCAGCCAUCUGCAUGACCAGAUGGGGGUAAGAGGAAGAAGACGGGACAAAAGACACACCGUGGAGUGUAAACCCAC
Oreochromis niloticus (Nile tilapia) is the source of this 2319-nucleotide long non-coding RNA. The record is from Ensembl. NCBI's taxonomy places the organism in Eukaryota, Metazoa, Chordata, Actinopteri, Cichliformes, Cichlidae.